CAAAUGGGAUACAGCCGGUAAAUCUAAAAGCAGAUAAAUAUACAAAAAUAGUGUUAUACAGCUAAAUAAAGCUAUGUGUGCUAAAAUUAGAUGCACUCACAGGAAUAAGGUAUACAAUGUGCUCAAGGAGUGCCUCCCCGAUGGCAAUGGGGCAAUGUUGUUCCCUUUCUCGUUCGGGUUGAUAAUAGUAGCUUUUAUCAC
Non-coding RNA from Pelobates cultripes (western spadefoot toad), 201 nucleotides. The record is from the annotation of a GenBank genome assembly. NCBI's taxonomy places the organism in Eukaryota, Metazoa, Chordata, Amphibia, Anura, Pelobatidae.